AGAGACAGCAGUAGCCGCGGGAAUACGUAGGUGGCAAGCGUUGUCCGGAAUUAUUGGGCGUAAAGGGCUCGCAGGCGGUUUCUUAAGUCUGAUGUGAAAGCCCCCGGCUCAACCGGGGAGGGUCAUUGGAAACUGGGAAACUUGAGUGCAGAAGAGGAGAGUGGAAUUCCACGUGUAGCGGUGAAAUGCGUAGAGAUGUGGAGGAACACCAGUGGCGAAGGCGACUCUCUGGUCUGUAACUGACGCUGAGGCUCGAAAGCGUGGGGCGCAAACAGGAUUAGAUACCCCUGUAGUCCCUGUCUCUUAUAC
RNAcentral lists this ribosomal RNA (309 nucleotides) under uncultured bacterium. RNAcentral describes it as "partial 16S ribosomal RNA". It matches the Rfam family "Bacterial small subunit ribosomal RNA", at positions 504 to 807 of the family's 1533-position model. The record is from RNAcentral.